GGAGGUAUAGCUCAGUGGUAGAGUGCCUCCUUAACAUACAUGAAGUCCUCGGUUCAGUCCCCAGUACCUCCA
Molecule: transfer RNA, 72 nt
Filed under: Camelus ferus (Wild Bactrian camel)
Lineage: Eukaryota; Metazoa; Chordata; Mammalia; Artiodactyla; Camelidae
Rfam family: tRNA
About the family: Transfer RNA (tRNA) molecules are approximately 80 nucleotides in length. Their secondary structure includes four short double-helical elements and three loops (D, anti-codon, and T loops). Further hydrogen bonds mediate the characteristic L-shaped molecular structure. tRNAs have two regions of fundamental functional importance: the anti-codon, which is responsible for specific mRNA codon recognition, and the 3' end, to which the tRNAs corresponding amino acid is attached (by aminoacyl-tRNA synthetases). tRNAs cope with the degeneracy of the genetic code in two manners: having more than one tRNA (with a specific anti-codon) for a particular amino acid; and 'wobble' base-pairing, i.e. permitting non-standard base-pairing at the 3rd anti-codon position.
Source: Rfam by way of RNAcentral